GAUGAACGCUGGCGGCGUGCCUAAUACAUGCAAGUCGAGCGAACGGACGAGAAGCUUGCUUCUCUGAUGUUAGCGGCGGACGGGUGAGUAACACGUGGAUAACCUACCUAUAAGACUGGGAUAACUUCGGGAAACCGGAGCUAAUACCGGAUAAUAUUUUGAACCGCAUGGUUCAAAAGUGAAAGACGGUCUUGCUGUCACUUAUAGAUGGAUCCGCGCUGCAUUAGCUAGUUGGUAAGGUAACGGCUUACCAAGGCAACGAUGCAUAGCCGACCUGAGAGGGUGAUCGGCCACACUGGAACUGAGACACGGUCCAGACUCCUACGGGAGGCAGCAGUAGGGAAUCUUCCGCAAUGGGCGAAGGCCUGACGGAGCAACGCCGCGUGAGUGGUGAAGGUCUUCGGAUCGUAAAACUCUGUUAUUAGGGAAGAACAUAUGUGUAAGUAACUGUGCACAUCUUGACGGUACCUAAUCAGAAAGCCACGGCUAACUACGUG
Molecule: ribosomal RNA, 497 nt
Filed under: uncultured bacterium
Lineage: Bacteria
Description: partial 16S ribosomal RNA
Rfam family: Bacterial small subunit ribosomal RNA
Source: RNAcentral